AUACGGAGGAUGCGAACGUUAUCCGGAUUUAUUGGGUUUAAAGGGAGCGUAGGUGGGAUAUUAAGUCAGCUGUGAAAGUUUGGGGCUCAACCUUAAAAUUGCAGUUGAUACUGGUUUCCUUGAGUACGGUACAGGUGGGCGGAAUUCGUGGUGUAGCGGUGAAAUGCUUAGAUAUCACGAAGAACUCCGAUCGCGAAGGCAGCUCACCGGGCCGGAACUGACACUGAUGCUCGAAAGUGCGGGUAUCAAACAGGAUUAGAUACCCUGGUAGUCCGCACAGUAAACGAUGAAUACUCGCUGUUUGCGAUACACUGUAAGCGGCCAAGCGAAAGCGUUAAGUAUUCCACCUGGGGAGUACGCCGGCAACGGUGAAACUCAAAGGAAUUGGCGGGG
Molecule: ribosomal RNA, 393 nt
Filed under: uncultured bacterium
Lineage: Bacteria
Description: partial 16S ribosomal RNA
Rfam family: Bacterial small subunit ribosomal RNA
Source: RNAcentral